GAUGAACGCUGGCGGCGUGCUUAACACAUGCAAGUCGAACGGUGAAAGAGGAGCUUGCUCCUCUGGAUCAGUGGCGAACGGGUGAGUAACACGUGAGCGAUCUGCCCCGAACUCUGGGAUAAGCGCUGGAAACGGCGUCUAAUACCGGAUACGACGCGGGAGGGCAUCCUCUCCGCGUGGAAAGAAUUUCGGUUCGGGAUGAGCUCGCGGCCUAUCAGCGUGUUGGUGAGGUAACGGCUCACCAAGGCGACGACGGGUAGCCGGCCUGAGAGGGUGACCGGCCACACUGGGACUGAGACACGGCCCAGACUCCUACGGGAGGCAGCAGUGGGGAAUAUUGCACAAUGGGCGCAAGCCUGAUGCAGCAACGCCGCGUGAGGGACGACGGCCUUCGGGUUGUAAACCUCUUUUAGCAGGGAAGAAGCGAAAGUGACGGUACCUGCAGAAAAAGCACCGGCUAACUACGUGCCAGCCGCCGCCGUAA
RNAcentral lists this ribosomal RNA (484 nucleotides) under uncultured bacterium. RNAcentral describes it as "partial 16S ribosomal RNA". It matches the Rfam family "Bacterial small subunit ribosomal RNA", at positions 28 to 523 of the family's 1533-position model. The record is from RNAcentral.